UUUAGAGUUUUGAUUCCUGGCUCAGAUUGAACGCUGGCGGCAGGCCUAACACAUGCAAGUCGAGCGGUAGAAAGUAGCUUGCUACUUUUGAGAGCGGCGGACGGGUGAGUAACGCGUGGGAAUCUACCUGGUAGUGGGGGACAACUUGGGGAAACUCAAGCUAAUACCGCAUACGCCCUACGGGGGAAAGGAGGGGCUCUUCGGACCUUUCGCUAUCAGAUGAGCCUGCGUAGGAUUAGCUAGUUGGUAGGGUAAAGGCCUACCAAGGCGACGAUCGUUAGCUGGUCUGAGAGGAUGAUCAGCCACACUGGGACUGAGACACGGCCCAGACUCCUACGGGGGGCAGCAGUGGGGAAUAUUGGACAAUGGGGGCAACCCUGAUCCAGCCAUGCCGCGUGUGUGAAGAAGGCCUUCGGGUUGUAAAGCACUUUCAGUGGUGAGGAAGGGUGAGCAGUUAAUACCUGUUCACAUAGACGUAGCCACAGAAGAGC
Molecule: ribosomal RNA, 491 nt
Filed under: uncultured bacterium
Lineage: Bacteria
Description: bacterial SSU rRNA
Rfam family: Bacterial small subunit ribosomal RNA
Source: RNAcentral